Molecule: ribosomal RNA, 651 nt
Filed under: uncultured Thelephoraceae
Lineage: Eukaryota; Fungi; Basidiomycota; Agaricomycetes; Thelephorales; Thelephoraceae
Description: eukaryotic LSU rRNA
Rfam family: Eukaryotic large subunit ribosomal RNA
Source: RNAcentral
CUGACCUCAAAUCAGGUAGGACUACCCGCUGAACUUAAGCAUAUCAAUAAGCGGAGGAAAAGAAACUAACAAGGAUUCCCCUAGUAACUGCGAGUGAAGCGGGAAAAGCUCAAAUUUAAAAUCUGGCAUGCCUUUGGCUGUCCGAAUUGUAGUCUGGAGAAGUGUUUUCCGUGCUGGACCAUGUACAAGUCCCUUGGAAUAGGGCGUCAUAGAGGGUGAGAAUCCCGUCUUUGACAUGGACUACCAGUGCUUUGUGAUGCGCUCUCAAAGAGUCGAGUUGUUUGGGAAUGCAGCUCAAAAUGGGUGGUAAAUUCCAUCUAAGGCUAAAUAUAGGCGAGAGACCGAUAGCGAACAAGUACCGUGAGGGAAAGAUGAAAAGCACUUUGGAAAGAGAGUUAAACAGUACGUGAAAUUGCUGAAAGGGAAACGCUUGAAGUCAGUCAUGUCUGCUGGGACUCAGCCUUGCUUUUGCUUGGUGCAUUUUCCAGUUUGACAGGCCAGCAUCGAUUUUGACUAUUGGAAAAAGGUAAAGGAAAUGUGGCACCUUCGGGUGUGUUAUAGUCCUGGACCACAUACAAUAGUUGGGAUCGAGGAUCGCAGCAUGCCUUUAUGGCCGGGGUUCGCCCACGUACAUGCUUAGGAUGCUGCAUA